This 552-nucleotide ribosomal RNA is filed under the name Triticum aestivum (bread wheat). RNAcentral's name for it is "partial small subunit ribosomal RNA". Lineage: Eukaryota; Viridiplantae; Streptophyta; Magnoliopsida; Poales; Poaceae. The record is from RNAcentral.
AUGGCCUUGGCCGCCGCCCUCGCUCGAGCGGCCACGCGCAUCCUCCACGGCGGCUUCCCGCCGCACGCCACUUCUGCUGCACUCUACACCCCCAGCCGCCUGUUCUGCGACCUCCCCGCCGGCAACGAGCCCUCCGCUCCGGGGGCCGAGGAGGAGCAGUGGGAGGUGGCUGAGGCGGAGAUCCUCCGCGAAGUUGGGCCCGUCGUGGAACUUGUCAAAAACAUCCUCCAUUCCAGCAGAUAUGGAGAUGGUGCGUUUUUAAGUCCGGAAGAUGAAAAGGUUGUGGUAGAAAAGGUUCUUGCUCACCACCCCCGUUCGGAAGACAAGAUUGGUUGUGGACUUGAUGCUAUUAUGGUUAACAAACAUCCUGAUUUCAAGAUGUCCAGAUGCCUGUAUGUGGUUAGAACAAAUGGUGAUUGGGCGGAUUUCUCAUACCGCAAGUGUCUCCGGGCGUACAUCAAAGGGGCCUAUCCAUCCCAUGCGGAUAAGUUUAUAAAUAAACAUCAUCUAGUUCAGAGGCGGUCACAUCUUGGUCUACUUCCUCCAAAGUAG